This is an RNA transcript of Drosophila innubila, 789 nucleotides long. It is a transcript of the gene named 40S ribosomal protein S27, with no coding region annotated. The record is from RefSeq and is a predicted model, not a curated record. Lineage: Eukaryota; Metazoa; Arthropoda; Insecta; Diptera; Drosophilidae. The transcript is spliced from 4 exons.
CAAAAUCAAAAUACCAAAUGAAAACUUCACGGCACUUUUGGUAUUUAUUAGUAUCAAAUCACUUGUUAAGUUGGCUGCGAUUGGGACGACUUCCUUUUCCGUGUUAGCUGUGAGAGAAAAAACAUGCCGCUAGCAAAAGAUUUACUGCACCCUCUGCCCGCUGAGGAGAAACGCAAGCACAAGCUGAAGCGCUUGGUGCAGCACCCCAACUCCUAUUUCAUGGAUGUCAAGUGCCCGGGAUGCUACAGAAUCACAACCGUGUUCAGUCACGCCCAGGGCGUUGUGGUUUGCGCUGGUUGCGCCACCAUUCUGUGCCAGCCAACUGGAGGACGCGCUAAGCUGACAGAAGGCUGCUCGUUCCGCAGGAAGCCACAGUAAUUUGGAACGCUUCUUGAUGAACCACAAAUUAUUAAUUUUUUAAUAAACACUCUAAAAAACACGUCGCUGUUUUGCAAAUGGAGAAACGGAGCCACAACAACACCAAGAAAGGCACAAAGUCAUGUCAACAAAACAUUUCGGCAGCGGCAGCAGCAACAACUUAAAUAAGAAGUAGUUUUAAACUGCAUGUAUAAGCCAAGAACAUCUGGCAAUUACAAUAAUUGAUGAAUUAACCGGCUGUAAAAUAGAAAGGACGCUUUUAAUAUAAUGAUUUUGGAAUUUCUUCGUGUAAGCCUGAGCUCCAGUUCAUUAAAGAAUUAACGAUAUUGUGGUUAACAAUGUGAAUUGGCGUGUUGCAUUGUUUUUUCAGUGGUAGACUGAAUUGAACCAAUAAAUGUUAUCGCUUUGAAA